UACGUAGGGUGCAAGCGUUGUCCGGAAUUAUUGGGCGUAAAGAGCUCGUAGGCGGUUUGUCGCGUCUGCUGUGAAAACUCGGGGCUUAACUCCGGGCCUGCAGUGGGUACGGGCAGACUAGAGUGCGGUAGGGGAGACUGGAAUUCCUGGUGUAGCGGUGAAAUGCGCAGAUAUCAGGAGGAACACCGGUGGCGAAGGCAGGUCUCUGGGCUGACACUGACGCUCAUGCACGAAAGCGUGGGGAGCAGACAGG
RNAcentral lists this ribosomal RNA (253 nucleotides) under uncultured bacterium. RNAcentral describes it as "partial 16S ribosomal RNA". It matches the Rfam family "Bacterial small subunit ribosomal RNA", at positions 524 to 776 of the family's 1533-position model. The record is from RNAcentral.